CCUACGGGCGGCAGCAGUGAGGAAUAUUGGUCAAUGGACGAGAGUCUGAACCAGCCACGUAGCGUGAAGGAUGACUGCCCUAUGGGUUGUAAACUUCUUUUAUAUGGGAAUAAAAUGUUCCACGUGUGGGAUUUUGUAUGUACCAUAUGAAUAAGGAUCGGCUAACUCCGUGCCAGCAGCCGCGGUAAUACGGAGGAUCCGAGCGUUAUCCGGAUUUAUUGGGUUUAAAGGGAGCGUAGGUGGAUUGUUAAGUCAGUUGUGAAAGUUUGCGGCUCAACCGUAAAAUUGCAGUUGAAACUGGCAGUCUUGAGUACAGUAGAGGUGGGCGGAAUUCGUGGUGUAGCGGUGAAAUGCUUAGAUAUCACGAAGAACUCCGAUUGCGAAGGCAGUUCACUGGACUGCAACUGACACUGAGGCUCGAAAGUGUGGGUAUCAAACAGGAUUAGAUACCCGUGUAGUC
RNAcentral lists this ribosomal RNA (460 nucleotides) under uncultured bacterium. RNAcentral describes it as "partial 16S ribosomal RNA". It matches the Rfam family "Bacterial small subunit ribosomal RNA", at positions 338 to 795 of the family's 1533-position model. The record is from RNAcentral.